GACGAACGCUGGCGGCGUGCCUAACACAUGCAAGUCGAACGGGGUGAAGAGCUUCGGCUUUUCACUUAGUGGCGAACGGGUGAGUAACGCGUGAGUAACCUGCCUUUCAGAAGGGGAUAACAGUUGGAAACGACUGCUAAUACCGCAUAACGUAUCGGAACCGCAUGAUUCUGAUACCAAAGCUGAGGCGCUGAAAGAUGGACUCGCGUCUGAUUAGAUAGUUGGUGAGAUAACGGCCCACCAAGGCGACGAUCGGUAGCCGACCUGAGAGGAUGAACGGCCACAUUGGGACUGAGAUACGGCCCAGACUCCUACGGGAGGCAGCAGUGGGGAAUAUUGGGCAAUGGGGGAAACCCUGACCCAGCAACGCCGCGUGAAGGAAGAA
Molecule: ribosomal RNA, 385 nt
Filed under: uncultured bacterium
Lineage: Bacteria
Description: bacterial SSU rRNA
Rfam family: Bacterial small subunit ribosomal RNA
Source: RNAcentral